Molecule: ribosomal RNA, 395 nt
Filed under: Labyrinthulaceae sp.
Lineage: Eukaryota; Bigyra; Labyrinthulida; Labyrinthulaceae
Description: partial small subunit ribosomal RNA
Rfam family: Eukaryotic small subunit ribosomal RNA
Source: RNAcentral
AUUCCAGCUCCAAUAGCGUAUAUUAAAGUUGUUGCAGUUAAAAAGCUCGUAGUUGGAUUCCUGGUUAGAGCGGCCGGUCUGGUCCGAAUGGGCUAGUACUUUGAGCUGUCUUUGACCUUCCCUUGGGAGAAUCUGUGUUGUUAUUAAUUUAGCAGUGCAGGGGACCCCAAUCGUUUACUGUGAAAAAAUUAGAGUGUUUAAAGCAGGCAUUUGCUGCGAAUACAUUAGCAUGGAAUAAUAAGAUAGGACUUUGGUGCUAUUUUGUUGGUUUGCACACCAAGGUAAUGAUUAACAGGGACAGUUGGGGGUAUUCGUAUUUAAUUGUCAGAGGUGAAAUUCAUGGAUUUAUGAAAGACGAACUACUGCGAAAGCAUUUACCAAGGAUGUUUUCAUUG